AAGUCGUAACAAGGUUUCCGUAGGUGAACCUGCGGAAGGAUCAUUGUCGAUGCCUCAACCAGAACGACACGCGAACCGGUUCAAGAGUACCAACCGAGGGGGAGGAGGGAUGGGGGCGUGCUGUGCUCUGCCUGCCUCCAGCCACCCGACCCCCUCGGGUAGUUGCACGGGGAAGCCAGCGCCUUCGAGGCACGGGCGGAACCGUGGCAACGAAAUAACCACAACCCCGGCGCUAGAUGCGCCAAGGACCCAUAAGAAACAGGCACGACCCUGGCUGCCCGGAGACGGAGACCCGCCAGGGAAGCGCCGCUGAACUUGUAACCAAAACGACUCUCGGCAACGGAUAUCUAGGCUCUCGCAUCGAUGAAGAACGUAGCGAAAUGCGAUACUUGGUGUGAAUUGCAGAAUCCCGUGAACCAUCGAGUCUUUGAACGCAAGUUGCGCCCGAAGCCACUAGGCCGAGGGCACGUCUGCCUGGGCGUCACACAACGUUGCCCCCAAUCCCACUCUCACUCCCUCCCCAUCGGAGGGGCGAGCGGCGGGCGGGGCGGAAGCUGGCCUCCCGUGAGCGCGGCCUCGCGGAUGGCCGAAAGAUGAGCCUGUGGGGGAGCGAUCACCACGGUCCACGGUGGACGAGCAGGGAAUGCCUUGAUACCGACCGUGCGUGCGUCGUGUCCCCCCCGAGCCGGGCUCCUGGACCCUCGUUCUCCUAACGCGACCCCAGGUCAGGCGGGGCUACCCGCUGAGUUUAA
This 752-nucleotide ribosomal RNA is filed under the name Cassia javanica subsp. nodosa. Its description in RNAcentral is "eukaryotic LSU rRNA". The stretch from base 329 to 484 matches the Rfam family "5.8S ribosomal RNA". Lineage: Eukaryota; Viridiplantae; Streptophyta; Magnoliopsida; Fabales; Fabaceae. The record is from RNAcentral.